This 371-nucleotide ribosomal RNA is filed under the name uncultured eukaryote. RNAcentral describes it as "partial 18S ribosomal RNA". It matches the Rfam family "Eukaryotic small subunit ribosomal RNA", at positions 592 to 975 of the family's 1831-position model. The record is from RNAcentral.
CAAUAGCGUAUAUUAAAGUUGUUGCAGUUAAAAAGCUCGUAGUUGGAUUUGUGGCGGUCCCUGUGGUCCAAUUUUGGUACUCUCGGGGACUGCCAUCCUUGGGUGGAUCCUGUGUGGCAUUAGGUUGUCGUGCAGGGGAUGCCCAUCGUUUACUGUGAAAAAAUUAGAGUGUUCAAAGCAGGCUUACGCCGUUGAAUAUAUUAGCAUGGAAUAAUGAGAUAGGACCUUGGUACUAUUUUGUUGGUUUGCGCACCGAGGUAAUGAUUAAUAGGGACAGUUGUGGGUAUUCGUAUUCCAUUGUCAGAGGUGAAAUUCUUGGAUUUCUGGAAGACGAACUAAUGCGAAAGCAUUUAUCAAGGAUGUUUUCAUUA